This 460-nucleotide ribosomal RNA is filed under the name uncultured bacterium. RNAcentral describes it as "partial 16S ribosomal RNA". It matches the Rfam family "Bacterial small subunit ribosomal RNA", at positions 338 to 795 of the family's 1533-position model. The record is from RNAcentral.
CCUACGGGGGGCAGCAGUGAGGAAUAUUGGUCAAUGGACGGAAGCCUGAACCAGCCAUGCCGCGUGCAGGAAGACGGCUCUAUGAGUUGUAAACUGCUUUUGUACAGGGGUAAACCUGAGUACGUGUAUUCAGCUGAAAGUACUGUACGAAUAAGGAUCGGCUAACUCCGUGCCAGCAGCCGCGGUAAUACGGAGGAUCCAAGCGUUAUCCGGAUUUAUUGGGUUUAAAGGGUGCGUAGGCGGAUUGAUAAGUUAGAGGUGAAAUGUCCGGGCUUAACUCGGGAACUGCCUUUAAUACUGGUGAUCUAGAGAGUAGAUGAGGUAGGCGGAAUGUGUGGUGUAGCGGUGAAAUGCUUAGAGAUCAUGCAGAACACCGAUUGCGAAGGCAGCUUACCAAACUGUAACUGACGUUGAGGCACGAAAGCGUGGGGAGCAAACAGGAUUAGAUACCCGUGUAGUC